Sander lucioperca (pikeperch) is the source of this 459-nucleotide long non-coding RNA. RefSeq lists it as uncharacterized. The record is from RefSeq and is a predicted model, not a curated record. Lineage: Eukaryota; Metazoa; Chordata; Actinopteri; Perciformes; Percidae. The transcript has 4 exons.
AAAACAAGUGAAUUGUGAUUUGUCCUUGACUGGAUUUUAAAAUGUAAUAUUGAUUUCCAAGAGUUUACUGAUGUUGAUAGUAGUGUGCAGAUAAGUAAUCUUGACAGAUUCCAAGUGCACUUUUCAGAAGCACCCCAUCUUCAAACUGUCCCAAGAGAAGUCUGUCAAACUCAGCCUACACAGGAGCCAGAUCAGCAGGCUGGUCUGAGGCCUCUACUUGAAAUGAAAGUUCCAGAAAUAUUUGAUGAACUCCAAACUAAGGGCAUUGUUACAGAGAAGACCAGAAUGAAACUCAUUAAAGUUUGCAUCUCUGACUUGGUGGAGAAGCAUGGAUUUUAUCCCUCCACUACUGAAAAGGUGGUUCUUGCAAAGAACAUCAUCACCAUCUUCCCAUCGCUAAAAGUCCAAAUUGAUGGCAGAGGAGAAGGCUUUGAGCAUUUCUUUGAUCCAGCAUCACAC